GACCGCAUAGCUCAGUUGGCAGAGCAUUGGGCUAGUAUUCCAAAAGUCGUAGGUUCGAUUCCCACCGUGGUCA
This 73-nucleotide transfer RNA is filed under the name Paramuricea clavata. It matches the Rfam family "tRNA". From Rfam's summary of the family: Transfer RNA (tRNA) molecules are approximately 80 nucleotides in length. Their secondary structure includes four short double-helical elements and three loops (D, anti-codon, and T loops). Lineage: Eukaryota; Metazoa; Cnidaria; Anthozoa; Malacalcyonacea; Plexauridae. The record is from Rfam by way of RNAcentral.